AUAAAAUAAUAAUAAUAAUAAUAAUCAUACAAAGACCAUACUAAUAACAACAACACAAGAUUUUGCGGAAAUCUGCUAUUUUCACGCAGCGACUUCCGCCCGAUACAAGCGAAGUGUAUCGGGGAGUGCAUGACAUUCGGAAACGUGGAGGAAGCCGGCGGCACGCGACAGCCAUCCUCCUUUGUCGUUUGUCACGUUUUGUGCGCGUAUGCAAAACAAGAAAGCGAACAAACUUAUUCUCCGUAAAACGGUUUCAGUGUUUGGCCCUGACUUUUUCUGAUUCGAUCUACGAUUCUUCAAUUAUUUCGCUCCCAGUGACCAACACUGUUUGUUCUUCCGUUAUUUCAUCGUGAGUCAACAAAAAUUGAAGUGAAACAAAAGCAGCUUUUUCACACGGCCCAUCCAAAAAUCGUUGGGAACAUUGAAUAUUGAAAAAAAUCGAGCUUGGAGAGAGUUCACGGGAUUACGAUCGCUGCACUUUCGUUUCGAAUGACUGACGUUUGUUACAAAAAUAAAUGAAAUAAAAAAAUAGUGAAACCGAGAA
Molecule: long non-coding RNA, 544 nt
Filed under: Venturia canescens
Lineage: Eukaryota; Metazoa; Arthropoda; Insecta; Hymenoptera; Ichneumonidae
Description: uncharacterized LOC122419407, transcript variant X2
Source: RNAcentral